This 411-nucleotide ribosomal RNA is filed under the name uncultured bacterium. RNAcentral describes it as "bacterial SSU rRNA". It matches the Rfam family "Bacterial small subunit ribosomal RNA", at positions 64 to 507 of the family's 1533-position model. The record is from RNAcentral.
GAACGAGAAAGUGGAGCAAUCCAUGAGUAAAGUGGCGACCGGGUGAGUAACACGUGACUAACCUACCUUUUAGUGGGGGAUAACCCCGGGAAACCGGGGCUAAUACCGCAUAACAUCGCAAGAUCAAAGCAGCAAUGCGCUUGGAGAGGGGGUCGCGGCUGAUUAGCUCGUUGGCGGGGUAACGGCCCACCAAGGCGAAGAUCGGUAUCCGGCCUGAGAGGGCGCACGGACACACUGGAACUGAAACACGGUCCAGACUCCUACGGGAGGCAGCAGUGGGGAAUUUUGCGCAAUGGGGGAAACCCUGACGCAGCAACGCCGCGUGGAGGAUGAAGCCCUUUGGGGCGUANACUCCUUUCGACUCGGACGAUAAUGACGGUACGAGUGGAAGAAGCACCGGCUAACUCUGUG